CCUACGGGCGUCAGCAGUGAGGAAUAUUGGUCAAUGGACGCAAGUCUGAACCAGCCAUGCCGCGUGCAGGAUGACGGCUCUAUGAGUUGUAAACUGCUUUUGUACGAGGGUAAACCCCGAUACGUGUAUCGGGUUGCAAGUAUCGUACGAAUGAGGCUCUGCUAACUCCGUGCCCGCAGCCGCGGUAAUACGGAGGGUCCGCGCGUUAUCCGGGUUGAGUGGGUUGAAAGGGUGCGUAGGCGGUUUGAUAAGUUAGAGGUGAAAUGUCGGGGCUCAACCCCGGAACUGCCAUUAAUACUGUCGGACUAGAGAAUAGUUGCGGUAGGCGGAAUGUAUGGUGUAGCGGUGAAAUGCGUAGAGAUCAUACAGAACACCGAUUGCGAAGGCAGCUUACCAACCUAUAUCUGACGUUGAGGCACGAAAGCGUGGGUAGCAAACAGGAUUAGAUACCCGAGUAGUC
Molecule: ribosomal RNA, 460 nt
Filed under: uncultured bacterium
Lineage: Bacteria
Description: partial 16S ribosomal RNA
Rfam family: Bacterial small subunit ribosomal RNA
Source: RNAcentral